Non-coding RNA from Cronartium quercuum f. sp. fusiforme G11, 83 nucleotides. The record is from the annotation of a GenBank genome assembly. NCBI's taxonomy places the organism in Eukaryota, Fungi, Basidiomycota, Pucciniomycetes, Pucciniales, Coleosporiaceae.
GCUCCCCUGGCGUAAUGGUAACGCGUUGGACUUCUACCUUCCAUGGGAUCCAAAGAUUGCGGGUUCGAGCCCCGCGGGGAGUG